UUUUAUAUUUCAUUUUGAAAAUAUUUAUAAAAAUAAUAUUUCAUUUUUUAUUAAGUUUUUUCUAAAUUAUGUAAUUUUUCCCAAUAACAAAUUGGAAAAGGGAAUAGAAAAUUGUUUAAAUUUGUACCAUUUAUAAUUUACUGGAAAUUUUGAUAACUGGAGAACUCCAUUGGUGAAAUGCUAUAGAUACAUACUACAUAUUUCCGAAAACUCAAGACUCUAAACAUAUUAUAUUUCCCAAACUUGCGGAUAAUUAAGGUUUAACAACACAAAAUCCUUUAUCAAGGACAUUUAAGUUACGCGUGCGCAUCACUUCAUUUCAAUGCAUAUUUCAUUUCAUUGUCUGAGAGUGUGCAACUUUUAAUGAUUAAAUGGCAUUUCCACUUUUUUAUGCAAAUGCCAAAUAAAUUAAAAUAAUGAUGUUUAAAAUAAAAGAAGAGGUGGUGGUUUAAAAAAUUUGCAGUCUGAAUUUAGCACCCCUAAAUAAAGAUUUUUUUAAACUUAAAACGCUGUCCUCCUGGCCACUCGGGAGAGCAAAUGUGCUGACUUUAAAAGGAAGGGAUCUCGAGUUAUUUAACCUGACGAACGCAAAACCAUUCGACGCAACGAGAGUUGAAUUAAAUUAGUGAAACGGUGGGUGACCCUAACGAGAGCAGGACAAGAAGCCUUAUCAAAAUGAUCAAGUCUAAGAUCAAUAAUUUUGUGACGGACUUUAAAAAUUUCAAGAAUUACUUUGUCG
Long non-coding RNA from Lucilia sericata (common green bottle fly), 739 nucleotides. RefSeq lists it as uncharacterized. The transcript has 4 exons. The record is from RefSeq and is a predicted model, not a curated record. Lineage: Eukaryota; Metazoa; Arthropoda; Insecta; Diptera; Calliphoridae.